GUGCCAGAGACAAGCUUUGGGA
RNAcentral lists this microRNA (22 nucleotides) under Cordylochernes scorpioides. Lineage: Eukaryota; Metazoa; Arthropoda; Arachnida; Pseudoscorpiones; Chernetidae. The record is from RNAcentral.